This 857-nucleotide long non-coding RNA is filed under the name Parus major (Great Tit). RNAcentral's name for it is "lncRNA (ENSPMJG00000019992.1)". The record is from RNAcentral. Lineage: Eukaryota; Metazoa; Chordata; Aves; Passeriformes; Paridae.
CUCACGGGCGCGCUCCCGCCCGCCCUUCCCGCCCCUCAGGGCGCGGCCCCUCAGGCGCCCUCGCCCCGCUCCGCCCCGACCCCGCGGUGUCGGUAAUUCACCCUCGCGGGGCUCCUUCGAGGUGUUGGGGGGCUGUGCUGUGCUCCUAGGCUCAGGAUGUUCCAAGUUUGGUUGCUGAGGUCCUGCUGAGUUUUCAUAUUAGGAAAGCUCAGACAACAUCCCUUGCCAAGUUUAAUGGACAUUGCCAUGGGAGUUCUCAGGCUAAGGCAAGUGAAAGAAUUAUCCAGUCAUUCCUCUUGAUAAGAAUGAAGGCCAGUGCUAAAUCAAAUUUUAUUUUUCUCUGUGUGAAAAACCAUCUGCAGAGCUGGAAAGCAGAACAUUUCUACAGGCAAACUUUUCUUUUGUGUGGGAAAAUAAUAUAAAAUAUUUGCAUCAAUUCUGUUCACGUCAUCAGGAGUUUGAGUGAAAUUCUUAUUCAAGUGCUUGACUUUUCAUCUUGGAGCAUCUUUAAGUGGGAGCGUGUUCAGUGUGUAAGUAAAUACAUUUUCCUUCUUUUUUACAUUUUCUUGUAAUUAUUUUCAUUUCAACAAUGAUUCUUUGGAAUUCCUUGGGUCUCCUGAUCCAAUUGCCAUUAAAUGGAUUUAAUGUGAUUCUGUCCAGUGCUUUUACAAAUUCAGGGAACCGAUGAAAAUUGAAUUUAUGACCAAACAAAAUCAUCCCAUAAUUUCUAAUUUGGCAGAUUUCUCUGGACUAUUCCUUUAUCUCUUUGUGGGAAGGAUCAAAGUCUCCUCCUAGGUAGGUUUCCAGCAGAAUAAGUAAACCUUUGUCAGUGAGAGGGGCUGCAUUUCCUGGGAAUU